AUUGAACGCUGGCGGCAUGCCUUACACAUGCAAGUCGAACGGGUAACAGGGAGCUUGCUCCGCUGACGAGUGGCGAACGGGUGAGUAAUGUAUCGGAACGUACCAUAGAGUGGGGGAUAACUAUCCGAAAGGAUAGCUAAUACCGCAUAUUCUCUCCGGAGGAAAGCAGGGGACCGCAAGGCCUUGCGCUCUUUGAGCGGCCGAUAUCAGAUUAGCUAGUUGGUGAGGUAAAGGCUCACCAAGGCGACGAUCUGUAGCGGGUCUGAGAGGAUGAUCCGCCACACUGGAACUGAGACACGGUCCAGACUCCUACGGGAGGCAGCAGUGGGGAAUUUUGGACAAUGGGCGAAAGCCUGAUCCAGCCAUGCCGCGUGCAGGAUGAAGGCCUUCGGGUUGUAAACUGCUUUUGUACGGAACGAAAAGACUCCUUCUAAUAAAGGGGGUCCAUGACGGUACCGUAAGAAUAAGCACCGGCUAACUACGUG
This 485-nucleotide ribosomal RNA is filed under the name uncultured bacterium. RNAcentral describes it as "bacterial SSU rRNA". It matches the Rfam family "Bacterial small subunit ribosomal RNA", at positions 30 to 507 of the family's 1533-position model. The record is from RNAcentral.